RNAcentral lists this ribosomal RNA (253 nucleotides) under uncultured bacterium. RNAcentral's name for it is "partial 16S ribosomal RNA". It matches the Rfam family "Bacterial small subunit ribosomal RNA", at positions 524 to 776 of the family's 1533-position model. The record is from RNAcentral.
UACGGGGGGUGCGAGCGUUGUCCGGAAUCACUGGGCUUAAAGGGCGCGUAGGCGGGCUGCCAAGUUUGGGGUGAAAUCCUCCGGCUCAACCGGGGAAGGGCCUUGAAUACUGGCGGUCUGGAGGGGGGUAGGGGCGUGCGGAACUAACGGUGGAGCGGUGAAAUGCGUUGAUAUCGUUAGGAACUCCGGUGGCGAAGGCGGCACGCUGGACCCUCACUGACGCUGAGGCGCGAAAGCCAGGGGAGCGAACGGG